UGAGAAUGAACUCCCGAGUACACUGCUUGCAGCCCGUGACUGGAAUGUUAAUUUCGUCCUGCGUCCCCGGCUGGCUCCCUUCAACGACAAUCUUCCUUUGAAGACGUGGAUGACAUAGUAAAACCGAUUGCACUUGAGAGCCGAUUCCAUGACUAUUUUGCUGCAACAGCGCGAAUGUCAUCACUCUUUCUUAUGCAAAGAUUGUGUCCAGAUCCAUGAAAUCAGCCAUGGCUUUGUUCAAAAUAUAGUAUCAGGAAUGCAUAUGUUGAGGAUCAAGAAUUCUCUGUCCCCUUUCAAGUCCUGGGGGGACUACGAAUCAAAUUGACAAGAGACAGGUAAAUGGGAGAAAAUCAAAUUUAAUUUUGUAUGUAGAAGGAAUCCACACAGAUAGAGACAUUCCUAGGGUAGGAAUUCAGGCAAAAUUAAGGAUGCAUGUCAUCCUGAAAUAAGGAGAAGGAAGUAAAGAUCUGGGACUUCUACAGGAAAGGAAUGCAGUUCACAGGAAGAUGAAAAAGAGCAAAUGUUUGGUAAUCAAGUGUUUGCUGGGCCCUCAGAAACAAUGGGACCUAAAAGACUUUUGAUCAAACAGGUCUUGCUGGCUUCUUACCUGUCUACCCACCUAGUACAUAGUAUAGUGUGGUUCUCUGGUGCUAGCUCCCUGCCUGGAGCAGGUCCUUUAUCUAAAGUCUUUUAGGCAGUACCGAGGGAGGUAAAGAUCUUUUCCCGAAUCUGCCGGGUUUUGAUUGCUU
This 749-nucleotide long non-coding RNA is filed under the name Canis lupus familiaris (dog). Its description in RNAcentral is "lncRNA (ENSCAFG00845004096.1)". Lineage: Eukaryota; Metazoa; Chordata; Mammalia; Carnivora; Canidae. The record is from RNAcentral.